This 579-nucleotide ribosomal RNA is filed under the name Escherichia coli. RNAcentral's name for it is "bacterial LSU rRNA". It matches the Rfam family "Bacterial large subunit ribosomal RNA", at positions 2133 to 2711 of the family's 2925-position model. The record is from RNAcentral. Lineage: Bacteria; Pseudomonadati; Pseudomonadota; Gammaproteobacteria; Enterobacterales; Enterobacteriaceae.
GAUGUGUAGGAUAGGUGGGAGGCUUUGAAGUGUGGACGCCAGUCUGCAUGGAGCCGACCUUGAAAUACCACCCUUUAAUGUUUGAUGUUCUAACGUGGACCCGUAAUCCGGGUUGCGGACAGUGUCUGGUGGGUAGUUUGACUGGGGCGGUCUCCUCCUAAAGAGUAACGGAGGAGCACGAAGGUUGGCUAAUCCUGGUCGGACAUCAGGAGGUUAGUGCAAUGGCAUAAGCCAGCUUGACUGCGAGCGUGACGGCGCGAGCAGGUGCGAAAGCAGGUCAUAGUGAUCCGGUGGUUCUGAAUGGAAGGGCCAUCGCUCAACGGAUAAAAGGUACUCCGGGGAUAACAGGCUGAUACCGCCCAAGAGUUCAUAUCGACGGCGGUGUUUGGCACCUCGAUGUCGGCUCAUCACAUCCUGGGGCUGAAGUAGGUCCCAAGGGUAUGGCUGUUCGCCAUUUAAAGUGGUACGCGAGCUGGGUUUAGAACGUCGUGAGACAGUUCGGUCCCUAUCUGCCGUGGGCGCUGGAGAAUUGAGGGGGGCUGCUCCUAGUACGAGAGGACCGGAGUGGACGCAUCACUG